Delphinapterus leucas (beluga whale) is the source of this 1802-nucleotide non-coding RNA. The record is from RefSeq and is a predicted model, not a curated record. NCBI's taxonomy places the organism in Eukaryota, Metazoa, Chordata, Mammalia, Artiodactyla, Monodontidae.
GAAACAAGGGGUUCAGCUGUGCAAGUUGAAAGUCUUGGAUAUUUAACUCUUCUGGUUUCUCAGGCUCUUUCUGGAACCUCGUGAACUCUACGUUCAUGCUGUUCUUAGGCACUUCAUAUACAAAGAGAACCUUGUUCUUCAGCUUGUUUUGGAUCCAGGGAUCAAUCGAGGCCAAAAGAAUUAAUGUUUCUUGUAGCUGCAUUGAAACAAAGGCCCUGUGGCUGGCUCACUUCAGGCCAAUGCUGGGAGGGAAGGGGGAGCUCUGUCUACAGGCCCUUCUGAUCCCAGGGAAUGAGGUCAAGGGGACAGUGUCUACGGGCGUAUUCCCCUCUCCUCCCCUCUGACAAAGAGCACGUGGCGUGAGGUUAGGUGGGAGAGGCUUGGAGGAAGGGUUGAGAAGAGGAAGAGGUGGGCGGGGAUGCCUUACGCUCUUUUUCACACACGGGCUCUUUUCCACAUCCAGCAUGUCUAGGACCAAGUGGAACACUUGUGGGCUGCGGAUCCCCAGGACACCCUGGCAGAGGCAGGAUGAGGGCGCCUAAAUAGCCGGCCCCAGGAAGAUGCCCUGUCUACACUCUUCCAUUCUAGUGCCCUUGUGACGACCCUGUGCCUGGAGAGGAGAGAUGGCUUCCCAGCAGAGUAACUGCUGGACUGCCUGCUACCCCUGCCAUCAAAACAUCUGGUUAGAGUAGCGGAGCUGGCCUUACCAAAGAGAUGACUGCUUCCUGGCGUGCAGUGGCAUUUGAGCUCGUCAGUUGCCUGGAGAAGGGACCUAGGAUUUGGCCCUGGCAGUUCCCAGCCCAAGCCACUCACGCCUCCACCAAGUUCAUCAUUGUGGGCUUCAUCUUGAGCUCUUCCACAGUUUCAGCAACAGCCUGCCUCAUAGCCUGAAGAGGGAUUAAGAUUUUAUCUCAGAGUCUAUCAGCUCUACAUCAGCUUCCAUUGCCACCAACAGCUGACUGUUGUAGAGUCCUCGUGCUCGCUGAGCCACUGCUUCUGUCCAAGGUUUCGUGUCAUGUGUACUACACAGAAUUCCUUUCAUUGCUUGCAGUGAUUGCUACACUGCAACCUCGACAUCUAGCAUAGUGCCUGGCGCACAGCAGGCAGCUUGCUGUAGUGAGAAAACACAGGCCACCAAGUCCUCCGACUGGACCAUCGCUUGCAAUAAACUGACGUGCUGCACUGAGAAAGACAGCGUCACCAUGUGGUUUUCCUGCCGAGAAUGUUCAUCCUGAAUCUAAGUAUGAGGAAACAAUAGGCAAACCCACCUUAGGAAAUAUUCUACAGAAAUCCCAUCUGAACUCCUGAAGAAAAUAUCAAUAUAUCUUAAGGACAAAGAAAGUCUGUUAAAGGACACUAAAAAGACCUGACAGCUAAAUUCAAUAUGUGCCUGUAAUUGGAGCCUGGAUUUUAAAAAAUAGCUCUAGAGGACAUAAUUGGGACAAUUGUGGGGAUUUGAUCAUGGACUCUAUGUUAGAAAAUAAUAUCGUGUCAGUGUUAAAUGCUACUCAUUCUGUGGCUACGCAGAAUGUCCUUGUUAUUAGGAGAUACACACUAAAACUGUUGGGGGGAAGUGAUAUCACAUCUGCAACUUUCAUUUCAGAAAAGAAUGUACAUACCAGCCAUCUGUAUAAUAUACGUGUGUUUGUAUAUACACACACAUAUAUGCACGUAGAUAAAGCAAAUGUGGUUAAAUGUUAAUAUUUGAAUCUAGAUGAAGGGUAUAUGGGUGUAUUCUUGCAAAUUUCACUAGGUUUGAAAUUUUGCAGAUUAAAGAUGGAAAAAAAAAAGCAGCAGCUUUG